UAACAAGAAUGUGUCCAAAGUACACGGAUGCCCCACUCGCACUAUCCUUUUGCAUGUUCCAUGGACCGUGAAAUUGGGUAAUAAUCUAAUUUGGAAUUGAAAUUAGAAAGAUUAUACUAUAGGGAACAUAUGUACUAAGUUUCAAGUUGAUUGGACUUCAAUUUCAUCAAAAACUACCUUGACCAAAAACUUUAACCUGAAACUUCCACUUUCAUUUUCUAUGUUCAGUGGACCGUGAAAUUGAAGUCAAAAGUCUAAUUUGGCUUUAAAAUUAGAAAGAUCAUAUAUCAUAAGCAACAAGUGUACUAAGUUUCAAGUUGAUUGGACUUCAGCUUCAUCAAAAACUACCUUGACCAAAAACUUUAACCUGAACGAACGGACGCACAGACGGACGAACGGAACCACAGACGAACGAACGGAGCCACAGACCAGAAAAC
This 437-nucleotide long non-coding RNA is filed under the name Mytilus galloprovincialis (Mediterranean mussel). Lineage: Eukaryota; Metazoa; Mollusca; Bivalvia; Mytilida; Mytilidae. The record is from RNAcentral.